Molecule: ribosomal RNA, 397 nt
Filed under: uncultured bacterium
Lineage: Bacteria
Description: bacterial SSU rRNA
Rfam family: Bacterial small subunit ribosomal RNA
Source: RNAcentral
UACCUAUCAGAGGGGAAUAACCCGGCGAAAGUCGGACUAAUACCGCAUAAAACAGGGGCACCGCAUGGUGAUAUUUGUUAAAGAAAUUCGGCUGAUAGAUGGGCAUGCGUUCCAUUAGGUAGUUGGUGAGGUAACGGCUCACCGAAGCCGACGAUGGAUAGGGGAACUGAGAGGUUGGUCCCCCACACUGGUACUGAGACACGGACCAGACUCCUACGGGAGGCAGCAGUGAGGAAUAUUGGUCAAUGGGCGGGAGCCUGAACCAGCCAAGUCGCGUGAAAAGGAAGAAGGAUCUAUGGUUCGUAAACUUCUUUUGCAGGGGAAUAAAGUGCAGGACGUGUCCUGUUUUGUAUGUACCCUGAGAAUAAGGAUCGGCUAACUCCGUGCCAGCAGCGGC